AGUUAGGAAGUAAUUGGUUUUAAAUUGUGUUUAAAGUACUUGAAUGAGCACAUUGUCUAUGGAUUUCUGAUUGUUUAACUGGAGGAAGAGGUGUCCUAUGGGGAUGUGCAAAUAUGCUGUGCUUUAUAAUGCAUUUGAAAGGGAAAUCAGUGUUAUAACUAUGUUAAUAAUGUUUUGAUUGGAGCAUGUUAAAAUGCUGUUGCUUUAAACCCACUUGUAUGUAGAAUGUAACUACUGGACCAGUGGUCACCAACACUCUUCCUCGAGAGCUACCUUUUGGCUGUAAAACAUUUCAGCGUAGACUACUUUAUUCCUCCAUCGCACCCAGCAUUCCUGGGAUAGUCUCUUGAUCCAUAAUGACCCUGACCAGGAUGAAGUGGCUACUGAAAAUCAAUUAAAUAAGGACUACUCGUUUGGGCAAUCCAACUGGUAAUUGAAAACCUGCAUUACAGUGCAAUGCCACUAAAUAAACGAAUACCAUUAAUUAAUAUUUAGUAGUUCACUAGGCCACAUGUUCAAGUUACACAUUAGCACUUUGUGGCAGCAGUUUGAGGAUGAACCCCAUGGGUGUGAUGGUCAGGUGUCCACAUACUUUGGGCCAUAUAGUGCAUAUCAGUUAGAGUAAGAAUUCAUUUAAUACACAUUCUGGAAGCUCAAACGCAGCACACAAAGACAUUUAUAUUACAGCCAACAAAUUAAAAGGCAAGUAUGUAUAAAGUAUGACUUCAGGUCAGUGGCCUUCUUUCAGUAAUUGUGUUGUUAUUGCUGCUGUAUCACUCACUGCUAAUAACUAUUUACCUGUUUACGAAUGAACAUGCAUUAUUUUAUAUUGGCUACAAUUCCUCUUUCCCACGUCCUCCUCUUUCUUCCUUUAUUAAUAUUAUUAAUUUAUUUAUUUAUUUAUUUUUGUUGUUUUUGUUUUUUGUUUUUUACAUUACUAUUGACUCAGUUACGCCUGCUGUGCGGAAAGUGCGCAUGGUGUCCAUGGUAACGACGCUACCCCUAACGUAAAAUGCCUAGCAACUGCGAGAAGGUUUAUAAAAAGAACGUGUUGUUUUAGUUAGCUUUAUUGCUAGCCCGUUGUUGUCUAUUAACCAAGUCAGAGUAGUCUUAAGCCAGUCAAAUUUACUUACGUGUUUUUAAACCUAUGCGUAUGAACAUGAUCAGCAUACCAUGAGCAGUGUUCACACCGGACUGAAACAUUACCUCGUCAUAUAUUAACUAAUCUGUGCUACAUACACUAAGUAGCUAACUAUCACCCGCUAAGAGCUAGGAAGAAUUAAAAGGUAUAUUAUGUUUCGUUGUUAACGGUAAUGUUAAUGUAUGCACGGUCGGAAAUCGGGAGAUGAUAUGCAGACCUCGGAUGAUCCCUAUGAGAAGUUCAUUCUGCAGCAUUUAAAGCAUUAUGGACUUUUUACAGGCCAGAGUUCUGCGUUUCUUCAGAGAAAUAUAUCAACAGGCAGACUAUGGGACAGCAGCCAUGAUUCUGUGGCCACAGAUGUCCUCCAUUCAACUGCUGACAGCACAGACAUGGAUGAGGAACAGCCACAGGCACAUCAGGGACAAUUCUCUUUCAACAUGGAGAACUAUCUCAGGACCAGACAGCUAUUAAUUGACCUUGAUGAUGGAAGGCCUAUCCGACGCCUAAGGGAACCACUGGACCUCUUUUCUAUCCCUUCCACUUCCUGUCCCUUCCAGGGUGUUCGCUGGCCAGUUGAAUGUGAAGUCAUCUGUGACAAAAUCCAACACUUGGAAUGGGAUCCUCCAGAACCCGAACCGUUUUAUCAACAGACUGGCCAUGAGCGAACCCCCAUGCCAGGAGGAGAAGAAAAAGGAAUCACUGUGUAUUGUGUAGACUCUGCCACAAAAAUGCCCUGCUUCACUUGUUCCCGUGUUGGUGGCAGCAGGAGGCAUAUAAAGAAUUUCAUGUCUAGUCCCGACAGCAAAGAGACACCUACCCUGUCCUUUGAGUCCAGAUUUGAGAGUGGUAAUCUUCAAAAAGCAGUUAAAAUUGGUCAUUAUGACUAUGAGCUCACUUUGCGCAAUGACAUGUACACCAAAAAGCACACACAGUGGUUCUACUUCCGUGUGAAGAACAUGAAGGUUGGUGUCGCAUAUCGUUUCACGAUUAUCAACCUGAUGAAAUCCAGCAGUCUGUAUGAAGCAGGCAUGCGUCCACUGCUGUAUUCUGAGGUUGGUGCCUGGCUGAAGGGAGAGGGUUGGUACCGUGCAGGCAACAACAUUCGGUAUUACCGGAAUCAGAGUGAAAAAGAGAACAAACCACUGUACUCACUCACCUGGACACUUGAGUUUCCUCAUGAAAAUGAUACCUGCUACUUGGCCCACUGCUACCCGUACACCUACUCAGACCUGCAAAACUAUCUGCAAGGUGUGGUUUCAGACCCGGCUCGGGCAAUGUACUGUAAAGUGCGGGUACUGUGCCGAAGCUUGGCAGGAAACUCUGUGUAUGUGCUGACUAUUACUGCACCCUGCGGCACCUGGCAAGAGCGAAGAAACAGGCAAGCUGUGGUAGUAACAGCUCGGGUGCAUCCGGGAGAAACAAAUAGCUCAUGGAUUAUGCUGGGCUUCUUGGAUUUUCUGUUGGGUAAAUCACCCGAUGCACGUCUUCUGAGGGAAACCUUUGUGUUUAAGGUAGUGCCAAUGCUGAACCCUGAUGGCGUGGUGGUUGGGAACUACCGCUGCUCUCUGUCAGGCCGUGAUAUGAACCGCAACUAUCGUACUCUACUUAAGGAGUCAUUCCCCUGUGUGUGGUACACUCGCAAUAUGGUGAAACGGUUACUUGCUGAGAGAGAAGUACUGUUAUAUUGUGACUUUCAUGGACACAGCAGAAAAAACAAUGUAUUCAUGUACGGUUGCACUGAUCGUAAGGAUACUUCACUACAUCUUCAGGAGCGUGUCUUCCCUCUGAUGAUGAGCAAAAAUGCCAAAGACAAGUUUUCUUUCAAGAGUUGUAAGUUUAAGGUGCAGAAAGGCAAAGAAGGCACUGGUCGCAUUGUAAUGUGGAGGCUCGGCAUCAGAAACAGCUAUACUAUGGAGUCCACUUUUGGAGGUUCCACAUUAGGGGGCAGGAGAGGAACUCACUUCUCUGUAGGGGACCUGAAGUCUAUGGGCUACCACUUUUGUGAUACCCUCCUGGACUUCUGUGACCCAGACCAAACCAAGACUGAACAUUGUCUAAAGGAACUGGGGGUUUUGCUGAAGCAGGAGAUCGGACGGAAGCUGGGCAGGGAUGUGGAAUCCCUGGAGGGUCUCUCUGAUGUAGACAUUGAGUCCAGUACAAGUGGAUCAAAUAGCACAGACUCAGAUGGUCUUCCUGUUCAUCUUUUAAACUGCACAGACCAGGAUAUAAAAGUCAAGACAAAGCAUUUACGGAGCAGAAAAGAAAGGAAUCGAUUACGACAGCAGGGAGCACAGAGUGCAAAAUCCAAGAUCCUUCACAGAGACAACAAAAACCCAGAUAUGAUGCCAUCCAAAGAAGAUCUAGUGACUCAAACAAUCCAAGGAAAAACAAUCACUCCAGUGAAAGAGGGGAAGGAUAAGAAACCAAAUACACCGAUAGUGAGGGUUAAUCAGUCUGCGAGGACCUGGAUCCCACAUCCCAUUUCACGUGUUAGUCUUUCUGGCCAUGAGGAUUUUUGGGAGGACAAGAAAGACAAGCAUGGCUUAGGUUACUCUCCUACCUUAUUAGAGGAGACUGAGUCAAUAAAUCACUCCCAGAAGCAAAAACAGCACCAACCCUUGAUUGUCACUGCAGUUCAACACAGAUUAUCAUGUCUGCCAAUUCAACAGUUCCCCGUGCUUUUCAACAAGGAUGUCAAAGCAUACUCAGGAAUGAGAGGAAGGUCCUCUGUUUCAAAAAUCUCACUUCGUAGGGCUGUUCCGGAGUUCAUUUCUAUCAAAAACCUAGAGCUCAGCCGCUCAGCCUACUCCUCACCAGCCCACACUGACAACCAGCAAAAUAUCAGGCCGAAAAGAACACCACAGUCAACCAGAGUUUCACUUGAAUCCUACAUGCCUGAAAUACCAAACACUACAGGCACCCUGAGAACCAAUCAUAAAAGAAAUGCACUAGCAGGUCUGGCAGUACUGGAGGCUGAGCAGUCCAGUGAAGCCGAGCAGCUCAGUAAACAAGAAAGAGAGCACUACUCUUUUUUCCCUUAUCUAAGCAGCAUUAACAGGCCUGGGAAAAGCAGUAGGAAGUCCUCAGAUGAACAGGCUCAACUCAGAACUGAGGCUAGGGACGUUAACUGGUGGGUAUGACGAUGCAGCUUCAUCAGGCAGCUGGAGCAAUGAAGACAUAAUGGAGAACUUGCAAAUGCCUUGGUGGAAGAGUGGAGAAACAUCUCACAGCAAGAAGUGACAAUUCUGGUGCAGUCCAUGACUUAAAGCAGCUGAAGCGUUCAUGCUUUCCAGAGGUUGGAGAAAGAAUAAAUAAAAGCAUAAAGCCACAAGCUCAUGAGGAAGAGGAGUGAAAAGUGGUCACUUUGGAGAACACCCAGAGGAAAAGUCCAGAGAUGCUGUGCAACGGUUCCUUGAAGUACUUCCAUUUCUUCAUACAAACAUGGGGCAGUGGUGGCUCUGGGUUACUGAUCAGAAGGUCGGGGGUUCAAGCCCCAGCACUACGAAGCUGCCACUCUUGAGCAAGGCCCUUAACCCUCUCUGCUCCAGGGGCGCUGUAUCAUGGCUGACCCUGCGCUCUGACCCAAACCUCCUAACAUGCUGGAGUAUGCGAAGAAAAAAAUUUCACUGUGCUGUAAUGUAUAUGUGACCAAUAAAGACUCUAUCAUUAUCAUACUGAGUAUAGAACAAUACAAUAGCAAUUUUGUUUCUUGCUUGGGUUCAGAAACAUGAUAGAUAGGAAAAUGUACUUCUUUGGAAUUAGUAUGUACUUUAGGCAUAAAACCUUUGUGUUUAUUAUUAUCUAGCCUACAUAAUGGACUUUUUCAGGCAUUUGUUUUUGCAAUCAUUUCAGCAAAAUACAUUUUUCUUAUUUUUAAAAUGUAAAUACAGGGAUUGAACAUUUCCCGAACGUUUUUGUAUGCUUGUUGUGCAUGUGCAUGCUAGAACUUUUUAAAGAAUUACACAGUUUAGUGACAUUAAACAUACUAUUACUGGCAUAAUUCUGUUUCUAACCAUUUCUAUCGGAGUUAACACACAGGCACUGGCUCUUUUAAG
Molecule: RNA transcript, 5196 nt
Organism: Ictalurus furcatus (blue catfish)
Lineage: Eukaryota; Metazoa; Chordata; Actinopteri; Siluriformes; Ictaluridae
Gene: agbl2
Gene name: AGBL carboxypeptidase 2
Exons: 24
Source: RefSeq, a predicted model, not a curated record